AUACUCUUUUUAUUACAAGAGGUCACAAAAACAAUUUAAAACUGAUUCAACCCUAAUCGCCAUCUUAGGUACUAACACUAUGGAAUGUUUCUGAAUUGCCAAUACUAGAUGAUUUCAAAUCCAAGCCAAAUGGGCAACAGCGAAGCUAAUAAAAAAAGGAGAAGAACAAUCAAAAAGUACAGUUGCAGCAAAAUAUCGCCUUCUUCAAUAGUUGUGAUAACUCCCCCAUAAUCCAUGAGAAAGAUCUAUGAUAGGAGAGAGGAGAGAUAUGGCUAGGGUUAAGGUACUAACGCUAUGGAAUGAUUUUCUGAAUUGCCAAUACCAGAUGAUUUCAAACCCAAGCCAAAUGGGCAACAGCAAAGCUAAUAAAAAACGGAGAAGAACAAUCAAAAGUACAGUUGCAGCAAAAUAUCGCCUUCUUCAAUAGUUGUGAUAACUCCCCCAUAAUCCAUGAGAAAGAUCUAUGAUAGGAGAGAUAUGGCUAGGGUUAAGGUACUAACGCUAUGGAAUGAUUUUCUGAAUUGCCAAUACCAGAUGAUUUCAAACCCAAGCCAAAUGGGCAACAGCAAAGCUAAUAAAAAAACGGAGAAGAACAAUCAAAAGUACAGUUGCAGCAAAAUUCGCCUUCUUCAAUAGUUGUGAUAACUCCCCCAUAAUCCAUGAGAAAGAUCUAUGAUAGGAGAUAGGAGAGAUAUGGCUAGGGUUAAGGUACUAACGCUAUGGAAUGAUUUUCUGAAUUGCCAAUACCAGAUGAUUUCAAACCCAAGCCAAAUGGGCAACAGCAAAGCUAAUAAAAAACGGAGAAGGACAAUCAAAAGUACAGUUGCAGCAAAAUAUCCUUCUUCAAUAGUUGUGAUAACUCCCCCAUGAUCCAUGAGAAAGAUCUAUGAUAGGAAAGAGGAGAGAUAUGGCUAGGGUUAAGGUACUAACGCUAUGGAAUGAUUUUCUGAAUUGCCAAUACCAGAUGAUUUCAAACCCAAGCCAAAUGGGCAACAGCAAAGCUAAUAAAAAACGGAGAAGAAAAAUCAAAAGUACAGUUGCAGCAAAAUAUCGCCUUCUUCAAUAGUUGUGAUAACUCCCCCAUAAUCCAUGAGAAAGAUCUAUGAGAGGAGAGAUAUGGCUAGGGUUAAGGUACUAACGCUAUGGAAUGAUUUUCUGAAUUGCCAAUACCAGAUGAUUUCAAACCCAAGCCAAAUGGGCAACGGCAAAGCUAAUAAAAAACGGAGAAGAACAAUCAAAAGUACAGUUGCAGCAAAAUAUCGCCUUCUUCAAUACUCCCCCAUAAUCCAUGAGAAAGAUUUAUGAUAGGAGAGAUAUGGCUAGGGUUUUUACAUGAAGGGAGGGGAAUGCGGCUUUCACAAAACCCUAGCCAUACAAACACUAAUCCAGUUUUACUAAUAUCGCAGAACGAUCUCAUGAAUUACCAAAACCAUGAUGAUCGCCGAGGCGCAACAACAAGCAUCGCAGAGGAAGCUCUACGGUUUCGACCGACCGUCACCGGUAGCAACACACGAUCCAAUCAACAGCAAAGAUGAAUUCAAGAAGGAUAAGAAGGACUCACGAAGGGCUAGUAGUAGCAGAGCAAGCAUCACCGUCGUCAGCGGCCGCGGCCCCAUUCUCAUCGGCCGAAGGAUUGAAGGAGUCGAGGAAUCGCGAAUCGGUCUCUGGGGUUUCGGAGGAGAAAUGUCGAUAGCUUGCAUCGUAAGCGAGAACCCAGAUUUUCUUUGUUUAUAUUUUGGGAAAAUAUGAUCCUGAACUUUUCAAUUUCAUCCUAAGUUUUCGAUUUGCUCAAUUUAGUCCUGAACUACCACCUAAUGUACAAUCUCCUCCCUAGACUUUUAAUUUGUUCAAUUUUGUCCCUAAUUAUCGAUAAAUAUCGGAUCUAGCUAUUUGAAAAUUGACCAAUUUCAUCCCGAAUUUUUGAUUUGCUUAAUUUAGUCAUGAGAAGAGAGGAUCGUGGGAAAAUGGAGUUACC
RNAcentral lists this long non-coding RNA (1975 nucleotides) under Eucalyptus grandis. Its description in RNAcentral is "long non-coding RNA (EGRA_LNC007081)". The record is from RNAcentral. Lineage: Eukaryota; Viridiplantae; Streptophyta; Magnoliopsida; Myrtales; Myrtaceae.